This 1871-nucleotide long non-coding RNA is filed under the name Bos taurus (domestic cattle). RNAcentral's name for it is "long non-coding RNA NONBTAT019798". The record is from RNAcentral. Lineage: Eukaryota; Metazoa; Chordata; Mammalia; Artiodactyla; Bovidae.
CAGAUUUUCCACUAAGGCUCUGAAUACACACAAAAAGAAAGCUGCUCAACAUAACCAUUUCACAUUUAUAUAGGUACUGCCUUGGUAUAUAUGAUCCAGUUUUCUGGAGAAGAUUUCAUAUUAUCUGGGAUCUUUGAUCAGAGAAGCUUGAGUAACUUGAAUAAGUCACAUUAUCUACUCAACACUUUUCCAGCCCUGCAGAAAGGGAGUAAUGUUUUUCAAUAGAUAUUUUCCUUACUGGAGCAUGUUAAGUUUACCUGAGAUGCAUAAAGCUCUGGAAAUUGAACUAUCAUCAUACUAGAUGAUAAAUUCAGUUUGACCUGAAGCUUGGCACAGUCAGAGCUUUAUCCUGGAACUAUACUAUUUGCUUCUCCAUUUUACUUAAAAUCACAAUUUGUGCUAAUUUGCAUUUACUAUCUAAGAAGAGGACAAAGAGAAAAGAGAGUUAAGGCUUUCUCUUCAGAAUCCUCCCAAGAUUCCUGGGGCUUCCAAGCUUUCUUUCAUUCUGACAGAGGAGAUGGGAAAAUGGUAUUAUGUUUGUUGGUGGAGUAAUCACCUUGCUCAAACAUUUUUAGGAUUCCCUUUCUAGAUUAACCUUUAGAGAGAUCUUGAAGGAAAAUAAAAGGUAAUGUGUCUUCUAGGUAUCAUUAGAAGCUAAUAAGUAGCAUUUGCACAAUCUCUCACAAGGUACUUUGAUACAUAUAAUUUCAUUCAUGUCUAUACUUCUUCCCACGGCAGAAGCCAGGCCUUACACUUAGGAGGGAUUAACGUGUGUUUGUCUAACUGAACAAAACAAAAUCCUUUCAAUGAUGGCAAUUUUUUCUCCUUUGAAAGCAAAUUUGAUUCAUUAUAUCUAAUCUUGGCAAAAAUGCUAAGUUAGAGGGGGUACCUUUUGGGGAAGAAACCACCUUGUGUCUAUGAAGUGCAGAUGAUUUUCUCAUCACCUCUUGAUCCAGCUCUACAGGAAGUUUAGAAGUGGGGCUCUUGGAAUGUUGAGCACACCUAUGCCCAGGAAAUUGACUUUGAAAGGCAGCAUUUGUUAGGAUGAAUAAGUAGUGACUUCAGGGGCCUUGUUAUCAUUAUUUGUGUGUCAUUCUGAAUAUAAAUCCUCCCCAAAUAUCAUAUUCCAUGAUGAGGGAUCUCCUUUUCUAAUUGUUGUGAAUAGUGCCCUCAUCAGAGUACCAAAUCCAUCCCUUUUUAAACUGUUUUGCUCCAUUCUUCAGCAGCAGCUUUCUAGUGGAGCAUCUGGCACAGGCCUAGCCAGGGUCAGGUGCCCAGCCUAUAAGCAUUCUCUCUUAGUCUGCAAGAGCUUCUUAAAGAACCCCUGUCCCAAUGUAUAGCUGUGAAGCAGGUGACCAUAUGGUGUGUACCAUCUAGGAAAAGUGAUAUGUUAUUAGAUAAAUGCUGCUGGAAAGAUUUGCAGUCUUCUCUUUUUGAUUAUUAAUUACACACACACACACACAUAUCCAUCCCUAAAGUUAAUGCUUUUAGUUUUCUAUUUUCGGAAAAGUGUUUUUAAGUAGGAAAAGCUUGUGGUAGGGACCAAUAAAUAAAUUACACUUUUCUUUAUUAAAUUUGAAGUAAACUAAAAGAGCUGAAGCAAGAGGUAUCUUAUUAAAGAAACCAAAUCUGAUGGUGAAAAAUCAGAAGAAAUAUCAUUUAAGUCAGUAAAGAAAGUCAGAGGGUUAUGAGCAAUACAAGAUGCGAUUUGGGGAGCUUUCUGGAAGAAAACUGUUCUUAGGUUUUUUUCCUACUAAAUGACCGUGUACUGUAGAAGUUAGUUCCAUGAUGGUACAUUUCUGAAUCCCUUGCUUCUGAUUUUAGUUGGGAAUGCCUGACUUCCAUGCUCUUUGUGAUCUGGUGGAGUCUGU